This 1005-nucleotide ribosomal RNA is filed under the name bacterium. RNAcentral describes it as "bacterial SSU rRNA". It matches the Rfam family "Bacterial small subunit ribosomal RNA", at positions 62 to 1074 of the family's 1533-position model. The record is from RNAcentral.
UCGAGCGGGGUUUUCGGACCUAGCGGCGGACGGGUGAGUAAUGCGUAGGAAGCUACCCGAUAGAGGGGGAUACCAGUUGGAAACGACUGUUAAUACCGCAUAAUGUCUACGGACCAAAGUGUGGGACCUUCGGGCCACAUGCUAUCGGAUGCGCCUACGUGGGAUUAGCUAGUUGGUGAGGUAAUGGCUCACCAAGGCGACGAUCUCUAGCUGGUUUGAGAGGAUGAUCAGCCACACUGGAACUGAGACACGGUCCAGACUCCUACGGGAGGCAGCAGUGGGGAAUAUUGGACAAUGGGCGCAAGCCUGAUCCAGCCAUGCCGCGUGUGUGAAGAAGGCCUUCGGGUUGUAAAGCACUUUCAGCGAGGAGGAAGGGGUUGUAGUUAAUAGCUGCAACCUUUGACGUUACUCGCAGAAGAAGCACCGGCUAACUCUGUGCCAGCAGCCGCGGUAAUACAGAGGGUGCAAGCGUUAAUCGGAAUUACUGGGCGUAAAGCGCACGCAGGCGGUUGGUUAAGUCAGAUGUGAAAGCCCCGGGCUCAACCUGGGAAUUGCAUUUGAAACUGGCCAACUAGAGUAUGUGAGAGGGGGGUAGAAUUCCAAGUGUAGCGGUGAAAUGCGUAGAGAUUUGGAGGAAUACCAGUGGCGAAGGCGGCCCCCUGGCACAAUACUGACGCUCAGGUGCGAAAGCGUGGGGAGCAAACAGGAUUAGAUACCCUGGUAGUCCACGCCGUAAACGAUGUCUACUAGCUGUUCGUGGUCUUGUACUGUGAGUAGCGCAGCUAACGCACUAAGUAGACCGCCUGGGGAGUACGGUCGCAAGAUUAAAACUCAAAUGAAUUGACGGGGGCCCGCACAAGCGGUGGAGCAUGUGGUUUAAUUCGACGCAACGCGAAGAACCUUACCUACUCUUGACAUCUAGCGAAGAUUGUAGAGAUACGAUUGUGCCUUCGGGAACGCUAAGACAGGUGCUGCAUGGCUGUCGUCAGCUCGUGUUGUGAAAUG